RNAcentral lists this non-coding RNA (30 nucleotides) under Homo sapiens (human). The record is from RNAcentral. Lineage: Eukaryota; Metazoa; Chordata; Mammalia; Primates; Hominidae.
UGACACCUACCACUGUCAGAGCCAGAGUGA